CUUAAUUAGAGUUUGAUCCUAGCUCAGGGUGAAUGCUGGCGGCGUGGAUAAGUCAUGCAAGUCGAGCGAUGGAGGUCGGAGAACAGAGAACAGAAGUCAGACAGAAAGAGUACAAUGCACAAUAUCGCUGAAGAUAGCAAUAAGUCCGUUCCGGAUUUUAAACGCUAUAUAAGCAUCGCGAUAGGUUCGUGUGAUGAAUUAGUUAGUCAUAUCAACGAUGCUGUUAGCAUCGGAUUGGUUAACUCAACCAUAGGUGAGCAACUAGUCGACGAUUAUCGAAUCGUUGGCAAGCAGUUGACACGCCUGAAACAGCAUUGGAAAUAGUCAAUCCGAUUUCUGAAUUCCGUUCUCCGACUUCUAUAGCGGCAGACGAGGUAGUAACACGUAGGUAGAUCCCCAGAAGUCGGGCAUAGCCAGUCGAAAGACUGGGUAAUUCCCGAUAGUCCGAGCACCUUUGUGCGCCUAAAGUAUUGGUAGCAGUAAAUUUUGAGAGAAAAUCUUAAAUAAUCUACUGAACUAAUUUGGACGUAGAAAGGUGCUCGGUAAAGGUUUUUCGCUUCGGGAGUUGCCUGCGUAGUAUCAGCUAGUUGGUAAGGUAAUGGCUUACCAAGGCUACGACGCUUAGGGGGGCUGAGAGGCCGAUCCCCACCGAUGGAACUGCGACACGGUCCAUACUCCUACGGGAGGCUGCAGAC
RNAcentral lists this ribosomal RNA (695 nucleotides) under bacterium. RNAcentral describes it as "bacterial SSU rRNA". It matches the Rfam family "Bacterial small subunit ribosomal RNA", at positions 1 to 356 of the family's 1533-position model. The record is from RNAcentral.